GUACCUUGAUGAGAAGACCAUCUUCCACCUUAACCCAUCGGGUCGGUUCGUGAUUGGUGGCCCCCAUGGUGAUGCUGGUCUCACUGGAAGAAAGAUCAUCAUUGAUACCUACGGUGGCUGGGGUGCUCAUGGUGGUGGUGCCUUUUCAGGCAAGGACCCAACCAAGGUUGACAGAAGUGGUGCCUAUAUUGUGAGGCAGGCUGCAAAGAGCGUUGUGGCAAAUGGGUUUGCCAGAAGGUGCAUUGUCCAAGUUUCUUAUGCCAUCGGUGUCCCUGAGCCCUUGUCAGUCUUUGUUGACACCUAUGGAACCGGAAAGAUUCCUGAUAAGGAAAUUCUUCAGAUUGUGAAGGAGAAUUUCGACUUCAGACCUGGAAUGAUCACCAUUAACUUGGACCUCAAGAGGGGUGGCCACAGGUUCCUGAAGACAGCUGCUUAUGGACACUUCGGAAGGGAUGACCCUGACUUCACAUGGGAAGUGGUGAAGCCACUCAAGUCAGAGAAGCCUCGGGUCUAGGCUUAUGGUCAACUUAAUCCCUCCCUUCAAUAGAUGUCUUGCUAAGUAUUGAUGAAUAAUUUGCGUGUUUCAUUAGUACUACAAUCCUAGGUCUAAUGCCAUUUCCUUAUCAUACAAAAUUUGUUUUUUUACUUAACAUUUAUUUUUUUGUUCAUUCAAUAUUACUGUUUUGAUGCAAUUAAAUUUUAUCUGAAUCCCUAUUGAUUGUAAUUUGAAAGGGUGAAAAAGCCCUCUGCAACGUAUUUUAUAUUUCACAAAAUUGAAAUAUUCCCUCUCAAGCUGUCUCUCUCUACUUGGUUCUGAUUCGUCUCUCUUCCUCUCUCGGAUCUCUGCAUGUCUUCUCAAAUUAGAUAAAGGGUUUGAUUCUUCAGUUUGUGUUUCGGCUUUUGAUUUUUUUAUUUUAUUUGUCCGAUUUGAUUAUGGAAUUUGCCAAUGUUGUUCUAAAAUUGUAGUAAUCAGGAUUUGGAUGGUGUUUCAAUGAUAUUUGUUUGGAGCCGAAUAAUCUGGCAAGCAAAUUUAAAAAACUGAAUGAUAUUGCUUUCUGUUACAAUCGAAGUAAGAGCAAAAUAUGUAAAUGUUUUCUCUGAAGAAAAAAUUGAAAUUGCACAAGUAGAUCAAAUAUUUUCUUGACAUAUUUUUAUCCACACAUUAAGAACCCAAUCUUGUCCAUGUGCUUUGAUGCAUUUUGAAUUUAAUUAACGUUGCAUGUUUUUCAAACCCAAAUAAAUUAUUGGUUGUAAUAAAGUUUACAGUGUCCUUUCUCUAAAAAAACACAAUUAUUAUACCAUAACAAAAUCGUGACAAGUUGUGUGAUGAUAGCAUGUUGCACGUUACCACAUUUAUGGUAGAUCCAUCCAGAAUAUCAGAUCUGCACCUUUGCGUUGAAAAAUAGUAAGUUGGAAGCACUAACACACCUUAAACGCGGAAACAAAUCAGACUUCAAUAAUAAUAUAUUGAAAAGAUUAGAGAGGCAUGUGGCCCAAUUCUUUACCGAUGAAAGGAAUGUGUACAUAUCCUAAUUACCACUACUCAUACAUUCAUUCAGAUAAUACUCCUAAUUACGAUAAUUAUUCAAUAUUUCUUAUUAAUAGUUUGAGUCCAACUUUUAAAUAAGUGAUGACUUUUUCCGUAAUGGGCACACAAGUGAUGACUUUUUCCGUAAUGGGCACACUAAAUUCUAUCUCAUCUCAUACUCUUAAUUCUUUUAUUAUGUUUUUUUUAACUUAAACAUAAAAAAUGUAUUUAGUUAGAGACUGAUUGAAAGUUUGUUUAUCAAAGAAUAUCUUGGCAUUGUUGAAUUAUAUUUUUCUGUUUUAUUUUUAUAAAUGAAGAUUAAUGAUUGUGAUAUGAAGCUCGAACACUUCUCUUAAAUAGCGUAUCGGUGUCAGAUAUUCGUAUUGACACCGAAAUUCAUAUGAUACUUUUAAGACACGUAUCCGUGAAAUGUCUAAUUCAAAAAGUAUUUAUUGAAUUUUUAACAAUUCUAAUACGAUUUUAACACAAUUUUAAAAAGAAAAAAUACAUUAAUUUUUGAAAGACUCAAACUUAUUGUAUAAUUUUUUAUUAUAAUUAUAAAAAUAAGAAAUAAAUUAUUUUGAACCAAUAAUGAAAAAUAUCUUUUUAUUUUAAAAUAUAAUUUGAAAUAUACUUGUGUACAUAAAUCUUUAUUUUCAAUUUAUAUAAUUAAUAAUUAUAUAAUAUAUAGAUUUAUGUCUUUAUGUCUUACAUUUUAGAAAUUAUAUGUAUCUCCAUGUUCCAAUCGUAUUUAUGUUACAUAGAUCGUGAUUAUGCGUGAUUAAUAAAGUGUUUCUAUGCUACAUACAUCGUGAUUACGCGUGAUUAAUAAAAAAACAUGGCCUUGGUUUUGUUCUGUUUGAUACAGAGAAAUGGUGACACAGUGAGAUGGUGAUACUUUUUAGAUGAUAAAUUAGGCUAUUCUUAAAUGUAAGAAAUCAUGAACCACACACUUGACUAUUUUUGACCUAGACAAGGCUCAUGGGUCGCGGAGUUCAUUCUUGUUGGUUGGUCACCACACCAACCACCUUUCAAAUAAUUAACAACCACAUAGGAUUAUGUUUUUUCCAGUGUCGAUUAAUUAAUAAUAUCUCUUAUCACCCCCACUGUAAACAAUAACUACAACUUUAGUCAACACUUCAAAUUGAUUAAGUUAAUUAAGAUGAUUUUAAAGCUUUCUCAUUUUUUCUUCUUCUUCGAAAAGUGACUAAAUACCAAAAAUUGUUAUGUAUGCUUUCUUACCCAACUUUCAUCUAUAUAUGUGUGGGUUUACGUUUUAGAUAUUUUAUUUUGAGGUUUUCUACUACCAAAAUUUAUAACAGUCAAAUUUUAUUAUUUUCAUAAAUAUGAGACUGAAAAAAUAUGUUUGUCUUUUAUUUACUUUAUAAGAAAAUAACAUUUUCCAGCAAACACUGUUUUUGGGAAAUUAAUUUUAGUCAUGAUUUCUGUUAAAAAAUCCCGUGCUGCAAUGGAGGUGGAAAACUAAAUUUUUAUUUAAAAUAAAUAUUUUCCUACCAAAAAUACUAUGCUAUUUUUAUUGAAUCAUUUAAUGAGGUAAAUUACAUAUUUUAUAAAUUACAUAUAAUUUCAUAAACGUCAAAAUUAUUUAGAAAAAUACAGUUUUAAAGCAUCAUUUCGUCUUUUUAAACUUGUUAUAGGUAUUUUGUCUUUUUAAAUUCCUUAUGUCUGGAGCUAGUGUGUUGUCUAGACCGAAUGAUCGAAAGUUGAAAGGUCGGUAACGAGAUGAAAAAUUAAACAAAAAUGAAUAAAUAAUCAAAUAAUAAAAUAUUGUGGCAAAACCCAUCAAAUAGGUUCAAAUAUGUACAAUAUGUUUAAUAAAUGUAAGGUAUGAAGAGUAAAAAUUCAAUUGGGUCCAAAGUCAAUAAGUGAGUACUAUAAAUAGGUGAUCAACUCAAUAGGUAAGUAAAGUGAAUUUUAUCGGGUAAUUAAGCAAAAUCGAUCUUGACUUUAUUUAUCGGAACCCCUUGCAUACGUUCGAGAGCUAAUUUUGAGCCCACAAGAGUUCAAGUCAAUCCAGUACAACAAGUGAGAAUCUAUAACCUACAUCUAAAUUCAAGCCUAAAUCAACGAAUAAUGUAGUCGAAAGUCCAAACCCAAACCAGUAACUAGUGUAGUCGAAAGCACAAAUCCGAAUCAGGAGACCAUAUGAAGCCGAGAAGUCUUGGGAAAAAAAAAAUUUCUUCUAGGCCUUGUAAGAGCAUUUAGGAAUAUGGUAUUUUUUUAAAAAAAAUACCAUGUGUUAUUUUUAUUGAACCACUUAAUGUGAUAAAAAGAAAAAGAGUUAUGAAAUAGCCUAAAGUGAUUCUAGUGCUGCUUUCCUACCCAACUGGUGAUAAUAUUCCAUUCAUUUAGUGAAUAGAAUUUUGGUAUUUUGGCAUCCAGUUAGAAUAUGACUCCUCAGACUCCAUUCCUAUUAAGCCAUCAUCUUACCAAUCACCUAUCAAUAACUAUUCACCAUUCACAAUUUGUUAGAAUUUUAAAGAUAAUAGUAUUUUAUAAUAUAUAAAUUAAAUACAUAUUUAUUUAUAAGGUAAUUUUAUAAAAUUAAAUUAAAUUUAAAGUUAUUUUUUAAUACAAAUUAAAAUAAAACAUUGGUAAUAGUUUUAGAGAGUUGGUGAAAAAGAUAAUUAUUUAAAAAAUUAAAAUUGUGAAUAAAAUAAGUUUUUUUUCAUUAAUGUAAAAUUUCAAAAAUAUUAAAUACGUUCCUAAAAAGAAUUUACAUCAUUCUCGUUCCUUUAAAUUCCAAACAAAUUUUUAAUAUCCUCUAAAAUUCGAACAUGUUUUUUAAAUAUUUAUUAAUAACAAUCAUAUAAAAAAUAUAUGUAAAUGACUAUCUUAGCCUGAUAUUAUUAUUAAAAAAUAAUUAUAAUAUCCAUAUAUUAAAAAAAUCAUUAACAUCGAUUUUUCAUUUAUCGUUAUCGUUAAUUAUGAUUUAAGAAAAAAUAAAGAAAAUAAUAUAUUUUUUUCAAUGAUGUAUUUAAUAUAUUAAAAUUUUCAUGGACAUGUAGAUAGUAAUUUAUCGUAAAAUUAUUUAAUUAAUAUUUUAAUAUUUGUACUUUUUCUUUUAUCAAAAUAAAAAUUGAAAACAACAUCGUUAGAAUUGAGGAGGGAAUUUGGACGAAGAGGAAUGAGUGAAUUUGUGAGAAUUAAAGAGGAUGUGUAAGGUUAUUUAGAUUGAGAGAUGAUAAAGUCAAAUUGUAAGGACAAUUUAUUGAAAUUUGAGAAUGAGAGGAAAUUUAAAAAUUAUUUUAAAAGUAUAAAAUGUAAGUUUAUAAAUUUAUCUUUAUUUUUAAAAAAUAUUUGAAUAAUAAGUAUGAUUUUUUUUUUAAUGUUUGAGUUAUGAUACAUUUUAUUUUUUAUUAUUUACUUGGAAAAUUUAUUUUCUCUCAAGUCAAACACUCUUCCGAUCUCAAAAGAGAGAGAGACAAAUAUCUUUGAUGUGUUUUGAAUAAAUAAAAUUGAUUUUUUUAUAUUUUAAUAAAGUAACAUACACAUAUUUCAUUUUAUUUAAAAUUUUAAUAUUCACAAAACUUAAUGAAAGAAAUUAAAGUGUUUUAUAAAAAAUUAAAUAGUUUAAUAAAGUGAGAUACAAGUUUUGUUUUAUAAGGAAUAUGUUUUAAAGACUAAUUUUAUUUGAGAUAUUGCAGUUAUUGCUGAUCUCGUGAGUUUUCACUUACAUUAAAAAUUGAACAAAAAAAAUCAGUUAAAAAUUGAAAAAUUGAAUACAAAAUCUCAGUUAAGUAUAUGGUUUAAAACAAUAUAAAAAAAUAAUUUACAACAUAAAUAAUAUUUAAUAUAAAAAAAAUAAACAUAAAAACAGUAAACCCUAGACCCUACAUCAAAAUAAAUACAUAAAACAAUGUAUAUUUUUAAAAAAAACAUCACAUGAUUCUAUCAAAACUUACAUCUAUAAACAAUUUUUUUUUUCAUAUCAAACAGUAAACAUAAAACAAAAAAACUAUAAAAAUUAAUGAACUUAACUGUGAAGACUAGUGUCAAACAGUGAAGAAAAACACCACCACCUCAAUCACAGAACGAGAUCCAACUUGAAACAAGAUAAAAAAAUAAUUACAAUUUUUUCAAACUAAAAAAAGAAAAACAAGACAGCUGUAUACAUUUAAAAGGAAUUCAAUAUCGAGGGAAAUACUUAUAUCCUACUUCUCACCCGGAAACAACUCUCAAAAGAUCUCUACUUCUCACCAUACCAACACUCAAAUGAAUGAAAGCACAACAUGUUCACGGGCUGAAAAAAUUCAAGUCAAAAGAUUCCUCAGUGUAUGGUGCAGUGUGUGUUGCAUUCUUUCGUGCAUGUGUUGCGUUCUUUCGUGCAUUGAUUUCUCACAGUGGUGUCAGUCAUGAGACCAAUUUUAUUUCAUGCAUUCACAGUUGCAAAGUUAUGUUAAGGGUAUUAAGGUAAAAUACUUAUAUCCUACAUGGACAUCUGUGAUCAUCUCUGCAUAUAUAAGAGAAAAGCAGAAUGCAUCUAACUCGCCCGUCUGCACCCUCACCUUCAAACACAACAUCCUUCCACUCGUUCAUUCGCACUGCAACUCCAUCAACUGAUCCAAACACAGUGUUAAUGGAAUAGUUUUUAUACAGUUAAUUUUACCUUAUUAGAUAAGAUAAAUAUAAGUGUGAUGUCACUUAUAUAUUAAUCAUGAGUAUAUUUUAUAAUGGUAUUUAAAAGUGCUAGUUAAAUAAAAUGAUAUUUACAUUAUUUAUGUAUUAUGAGUGGGAUAUAUUUCUAAUGAAAGUAAAAUUUUCUCUAAAAUCAUAAUUAAACACAUUUUCUUAUUUUUUUAAUAAGAAUUGACUUCUACAAAAGAAAAGAAAAAUUAAAUGUGAAAAAUGAUUUCAUUUUCUUAAAUAUUUAUGAUAUACACACAUAGUAUUUUAAAUAUCAUUUUUAAUAUUAAUUUAGUAAAUGAAAUAUUGAUAUUCUUUUCGUUCCUAAUAAUUUUUUAAAAAAUCUUGAAAACUCCUCUUUCAUUUUCUCUUGUAUCAUUUUUUUCUUUUUUACUACUCUAAAAGGCUAUAAUGCUUUUCUUGUUUUUCUUAAGAAGAUUAAAAAAUUAAAGUGUUUAUUUUAUAAAAAUGUAAUAUUCUUAAUUGUGUUUUCUACAAAUUUUUCUGUUAAUAAACAAAUAAAUGCCAUGUCAAACAUGUAGUCAAAAUAAAAAAUCUAACAUAAAAUGAAACAAAACAAAACAUACAAAAACCACACCAAACAUACAUUAAUACUAUUAUUUGAUGGGAUUACUAAUAUUUUUAAAUUAAAAUUUACACUACAAAGAAUAAUGAUUUUAAUACAGGUAAAAAAUAAUCAUAAAUAAAAAAGUGGACAUUAAAACGUGAUUAACGUUUACCUUUCAUUCAUUAAAAAGUUUACAUUUUAUACGUGAAAGCUAUUAAAUCUUCUAUAUCGGUAUAUGUAGGAGACGUAUCGUGAUCAAAUAGAGACAAAUUAUACGAUUAAUAUUUAAUAAUUUAUUAUUUUAUGUACAAAUAGUUAGUCACAAUUAUUCUCUCAUAGAUAUAAAAUAUUUUACUUAUAACACUUCAUAAUUUAUUUAUUUUAUGUUACUUUUUUUUUCACUUCUAUGUACACGGAUAAGGAAAGUUAUUAAUAUUAAUAAAAGGAAAAGCUCAAUUUCUUAUUCCCUUAUGAAAAAAAAUAAAUCCAAAUGACAAGUAGAAAUUCAAAUGAAAAUUAUUCUAGAUCCCAGAAUACAGAAGUAAACAUUUUUUAUGUAACCAUUUAAUUUAUUUGUAAGAAAUAUUUUUUUAUCAGCAUUUGCAAGAAAUUUUCAAAUUCUGAUUCCAUUAAACACAUGAGAAAAAUCGGAAUGCAAAAUAGAAAUUUAUUAAAUACACCCACUAAUUAAAUUAAAUGACCAUUUAGACUAUUACUAUUAUCAUUAAAAUAAAAUAGGUACACACUCAUGAAAAAUAGAUCAUAUAUUCCAAAAUAUAGAAACUACUGUUUGUAUAUAUUAAUACAGUUAUUGAUAUUUUACGUGAUUAUUUUAUAUUAUUAAAGGAUUUCAUAAUGAAAAAAAUACUGUACUGUCAUUAAUUAAAGAAAAUACAUUCCAAUUAUAUCGUUUAAUUAAAUAAAAUAAUAUAAUUAUUUAAAAUAUUUGUAAUACAUUUACAAUUUUAACCUUUGCAGCAAAUACUACAUUAUAUAAUUUAAAAAAAUAUUGUAAUUACAGAAAAUUUAACAUUAUUAAUUAAACAAAUAAAUACUUUUUUAAUAAAUAUAAAUUAAUCAAUAAGAUCUCACGUAUAAGCAGAAAAGAUAAUAUUCUCUAUAAACUCAAAUGUAAAAAAAGAUAAUAUUUAAACUUUUUAAUACUAGUAUUCCUAAAGUAUCUUUUUAUUUAGUUUUAAAUAUUAUUUUCAAUAAAUAUAAAUAAAUAAAUAUAUUUAUUAUAUUAAAUAAAAACUACAUGUUUUAUCCAUAUGAAAAAGAGAAUAAUUUUGCUUACAGUUAGAUGCAAAAACAAUAUUUUAAAUUAAAGAGUAUUUUAAAUUUUAGCAACGAUGACGGUGGGAUCUACCUUUAUCGUACGGAGCUACCGACACCGACACGUUUUCGGUAAGGUUGGUGAGUCACCGGCGGUACCCGGUAAUGGACGAGCUCUCGCUGUAGCAAAUCGCAAUCUCACCGACCCCUUUGAUUUGGGUGUGAAAUCUAACGGCACAACGCCGGUUCCGGUGUCUAGUCAUAUGAGUGACCAUUGAUCACUAUAAAUAGCGAGACAACGUUCUUUCUCUUACCCUCACAACACUAAACCAGUCACUUGCUGUUUGGUUCUGCACUGUGGUGACUCUGGUUUGCUUCCACUCACUGAAUUUCUUUCUUCAGAACCCAUUCUUUCAUUCUUUGGAGGUUCGUUCUUCACGCUUCUUCUCUUCUCAUACGUUUUUUUUUCUUCUAUAAACCCUGUUUUGCUUACCAUCAUAAUUUAUAUAUCUUCCAUUUCCGGAACUGUAAGUAAUGUUUUAUUCCCAAUGUCUUGUCCUUAACUAGACCCUUACGGUUAUGGAUCUGAAUUUUCUUUAUAUUAUUUUCCUUUUCUUCUAUGCUUUUCACUAUUGUAGUUUGAUUAUUUGAAAUGGUAUGGUAUUUCUGUUGCAUUUUGAUCUUUUGUUGUAUAGAUCUGAUGCUUUAACGGGAAUAAUCUGUUCUAACUUAUUCUGUCCGGGUCUAGUUUAUGUGCCUCGUGUGAUACUGUUCAUUUAGUUUUUUCUUUGUUGAACCCUUUAGCGUUCUAAUUUUGUAAUUGAAACUAAUGUUUGAGGUAUAUGCUGUGCUUUAAUGUUUCUUGAAAGGACAAAAGUUAUGUGUAGAUCUUUUGCGCUGUUAUUGGAGUUUCGCUAAUUUAUGAAAUAAAGGGUAAUGGUGAACAUAGAUUACUAAAAUUAAAUUCAAAUUCAGAUUGAAGAACAACGCUAGUAAGUGCAUCUAAAUUUUCUUCUUUCAGAAAUUCAAGAUUCGUUCCAACUUGGUGCCCGGGAAUAUUCGUAUAUACUUUCUUAUCGUUUUGUCUGCAAUUAGUUUUUUAGGACCAUAAGUUUUUUCUGAAAGUAGAUCAGGAUGAACUAUUUUAAUCCAACUUGGCAUAAACUUUGAUGAUUUUCUAUCAAUUUGUUGUAGGGAUUUAUGCUUUAAUUAUUUUAGUUGGAAUAUGAUCUCGAAUCUCAGCUUCCAUUAUAGCACCAACUGAAGUAUUUUUGCUUAAGCAUUUGUACUUUGUAAAACUAAACGUUGUGUUUUCUGCAGCUUGAUAAAUGGCAUCUGAAACCUUUCUAUUCACAUCUGAGUCUGUGAACGAGGGUCACCCAGACAAGCUGUGCGACCAGAUCUCUGAUGCAGUGCUCGACGCGUGCCUUGCACAAGACCCUGACAGCAAGGUUGCCUGCGAAACAUGCACCAAGACAAACAUGGUGAUGGUCUUUGGAGAGAUCACAACCAAGGCCGAAGUAGACUACGAGAAGAUUGUCCGUGAGACAUGCCGCAGCAUUGGAUUCAUCUCUGAUGAUGUUGGUCUUGAUGCUGACAAGUGCAAGGUGUUGGUCAACAUUGAGCAGCAGAGCCCUGAUAUCGCCCAGGGUGUGCACGGCCACUUCACCAAGCGCCCGGAGGAGGUUGGUGCUGGUGACCAGGGUCACAUGUUUGGCUAUGCCACUGACGAAACCCCUGAAUACAUGCCGCUCAGCCAUGUCCUUGCAACCAAACUUGGUGCUCGCCUUACCGAGGUUAGGAAAGAUGGUACCUGCGCUUGGUUGAGGCCAGAUGGUAAAACACAAGUAACUGUUGAGUACAACAAUGACAACGGUGCCAUGGUUCCAAUCCGUGUUCACACUGUUCUAAUUUCCACCCAACAUGAUGAGACUGUGAGCAAUGACCAAAUUGCUGCUGACCUUAAAGAGCAUGUUAUCAAGCCUGUCAUUCCCGAGAAGUACCUUGAUGAGAAGACCAUCUUCCACCUUAACCCAUCGGGUCGGUUCGUGAUUGGUGGCCCCCAUGGUGAUGCUGGUCUCACUGGAAGAAAGAUCAUCAUUGAUACCUACGGUGGCUGGGGUGCUCAUGGUGGUGGUGCCUUUUCAGGCAAGGAC
Molecule: long non-coding RNA, 10174 nt
Filed under: Phaseolus vulgaris (common bean)
Lineage: Eukaryota; Viridiplantae; Streptophyta; Magnoliopsida; Fabales; Fabaceae
Description: long non-coding RNA (PVUL_LNC005255)
Source: RNAcentral